This is a long non-coding RNA of Gossypium arboreum, 1002 nucleotides long. RefSeq lists it as uncharacterized. The record is from RefSeq and is a predicted model, not a curated record. NCBI's taxonomy places the organism in Eukaryota, Viridiplantae, Streptophyta, Magnoliopsida, Malvales, Malvaceae. The transcript has 6 exons.
UACAUGUUUUUUUUAUUAUUUUUGCCAUUCUUGCUUCUGCUUUGUUUGUCUGCUAUUUCUUGAAGGGCAUGGGCAUGCGCGGGGCGUGGUGGCCGACAAGGUGGAGCAAUGUCAGACGCUUGGGGGCGUGGUGGCCAAGGUUGGGGAGUGGCGGCUGAAAACUUGGUGGCUAGGUUUUUUUUUUGCUGCUGAAAAUGUUUAGUUUGUUGGGCUAGGUGGGCUUUAGGUUUUUUUUGUUGUUUGGGUCAUUUGAUGUGGGAGUUGGGCCUGCUGAAAUUGGGGUGGGUAUUUGGUUGUAUUUGGGCCAAAAUUGGCCUACAACAGCAGUCACAUUGGCUAUGCAUUCAACAAGUUGAUGAAGCAAAUUGGACAUCCGGAUGAGUUUGAAUUGCCAGAUUGCUUUAAUAAUUGACUUUCUGUUCCUUGUGUAGAGAUGGAUGAAUUUGCUUUAGGAUCUUAUUGGUCAUAGUCAUGGAGAAGCUGAAACUUUCGUAGCAAUUUCAGAAGAGGUUAUUGGCUCCCUAUAUAUCUUCUGGCAUAUUUUUAGAAAUUUUCAAGCUUUGGAUAAAAGGUCAUAAGGUGAUCGUUCUAGACAUUCCGUUGUUCUAGCUAUUCCAAUCAUUGAUGGAUUGAAGGAGAAAUUCGCUGAGGCAACGAGGUGAAACGAUGUUAAAGCUAUUGUUCUUACGGCAAGGGAGGAAGGUUUUCCAGUGGUUUUGAUAUCAAUGUUUUCACGAAAGUUCAUGGAACCGGUGAUGUGUCGGUCAUGCAUGAUGUAACUGUUGAUCUUGUCACUAAUGCUAUAAAAGGUGUUUCUAGCCCACGGACUACAGCUUGAGAAAAUAAACAAAGCUUUAAUAUUUGAUUGUAAAUUGUCUUGCAACGUUUAGAUGUUUUGUUGUUUUUAUUAAUAAACAAGAUGUUGUAUUUGGACUUGCUGUUUGUAAAAGACUUGCUGUAUUUUAUUUAUAUCUUUAUAUUUAAUCUAAUUUUUAUUAUUUA